Molecule: long non-coding RNA, 705 nt
Organism: Equus quagga
Lineage: Eukaryota; Metazoa; Chordata; Mammalia; Perissodactyla; Equidae
Exons: 2
Source: RefSeq, a predicted model, not a curated record
CUGCCUCACCAUGGCCUGCUGAGCGGUGCCAUGUCCGCGCCCAGGAUCUGAACCAGUGAAACCCUGGGCUGCGGAAGCGGAGCACGUGAACUCAACCACUUGGCCACCAGGCUGGCCCCUAUAUUCUUAUCUACAUAUAAUUCUCUCUAGCAUGUCUAAAAUAUUUCAUUAAAAAACUACACUCAAUGAAAAAGAGUAAGACAGGCAUUUAGUAAUCAAAUGUUUAUAUACAAAAGUGGCAGAGGGGGCCGGCUUCGUGGCCGAGUGGUUAAGUUCGCACGCUCCACUGCGGCAGCCCAGGGUUCGGAUCCUGGGCGCAGACAUGGCACUGCUCAUCAGGCCACGCUGAGGCGGCAUCCCACAUUCCACAACUAGAAGGACCUGCAACUAAGACAUAUAACUAUGUACGGGGGCGGGGGGGGGGGUUUGGGGAGAUAAAGCAAAAAAAAAAAAAGUGGCAGAGAAGGAGUCAUAUACUCCACUUUUAAAGUGAGACAAAGGACUGACUUACCUGAGAAUUGACUAAAUGACAAAGAUGGGGCCUUUGUGGCUCCUCCCACUCUAACCACAGGCACCUGCUGGCUUACGCUCACCACUGCUCACACUCUCCCCACUCCAGCUACAAGUUACGCUCCAGGUUUCUGAAACAUGCCUCGCAUUUCCCGUCUGUCCCUCCACUUGACUUGCUUCCUCUCCUACAACAUA